This 253-nucleotide ribosomal RNA is filed under the name uncultured bacterium. Its description in RNAcentral is "partial 16S ribosomal RNA". It matches the Rfam family "Bacterial small subunit ribosomal RNA", at positions 524 to 776 of the family's 1533-position model. The record is from RNAcentral.
UACGUAGGGGGCAAGCGUUGUCCGGAAUCAUUGGGCGUAAAGAGCGUGUAGGCGGUCCGAUAAGUCGGCUGUGAAAGUCAAGGGCUCAACCCUUGAAUGCCGGCCGAUACUGUCGGGCUAGAGUCCGGAAGAGGCGAGUGGAAUUCCUGGUGUAGCGGUGAAAUGCGCAGAUAUCAGGAGGAACACCAAUGGCGAAGGCAGCUCGCUGGGACGGUACUGACGCUGAGACGCGAAAGCGUGGGGAGCGAACAGG